CCUACGGGGGGCAGCAGUGAGGAAUAUUGGUCAAUGGGCGGAAGCCUGUACCAGCCAAGUAGCGUGCAGGAUGACGGCCCUACGGGUUGUAAACUGCUUUUAUACGGGAAUAACGCGCCUUACGUGUAGGGCUUUGCAUGUACCGUAUGAAUAAGGACCGGCUAAUUCCGUGCCAGCAGCCGCGGUAAUACGGAAGGUCCGGGCGUUAUCCGGAUUUAUUGGGUUUAAAGGGAGCGUAGGCCGCAUGUCAAGCGUGCUGUGAAAUGUCCGGGCUCAACCCGGGCCUUGCAGCGCGAACUGGCGUGCUUGAGUCCGCGGAAAGCAGGCGGAAUUCGUCGUGUAGCGGUGAAAUGCUUAGAUAUGACGAAGAACCCCGAUUGCGAAGGCAGCUUGCUGCAGCGGAACUGACGCUGAUGCUCGAAAGCGCGGGUAUCGAACAGGAUUAGAUACCCGGGUAGUC
Molecule: ribosomal RNA, 460 nt
Filed under: uncultured bacterium
Lineage: Bacteria
Description: partial 16S ribosomal RNA
Rfam family: Bacterial small subunit ribosomal RNA
Source: RNAcentral